CAGUAGCCGCGGUAACACGAAGGGUGCAAGCGUUAAUCGGAAUUACUGGGCGUAAAGCGUGCGUAGGCGGUUUGUUAAGUCUGCUGUGAAAUCCCCGGGCUCAACCUGGGAAUGGCAGUGGAUACUGGCAAGCUAGAGUGUGUCAGAGGAUGGUGGAAUUCCCGGUGUAGCGGUGAAAUGCGUAGAGAUCGGGAGGAACAUCAGUGGCGAAGGCGGCCAUCUGGGACAACACUGACGCUGAGGCACGAAAGCGUGGGGAGCAAACAGGAUUAGAUACCCCGGUAGUCCCUGUCUCUUAUAA
This 301-nucleotide ribosomal RNA is filed under the name uncultured bacterium. Its description in RNAcentral is "partial 16S ribosomal RNA". It matches the Rfam family "Bacterial small subunit ribosomal RNA", at positions 509 to 809 of the family's 1533-position model. The record is from RNAcentral.